Molecule: ribosomal RNA, 253 nt
Filed under: uncultured bacterium
Lineage: Bacteria
Description: partial 16S ribosomal RNA
Rfam family: Bacterial small subunit ribosomal RNA
Source: RNAcentral
UACGUAGGGGGCAAGCGUUGUCCGGAAUUAUUGGGCGUAAAGAGCGUGUAGGCGGUCCGGUAAGUCAGCUGUGAAAGUCAAGGGCUCAACCCUUGAAUGCCGGUUGAUACUGUCGGGCUAGAGUCCGGAAGAGGCGAGUGGAAUUCCCGGUGUAGCGGUGAAAUGCGUAGAUAUUGGGAGGAACACCAGUGGCGAAGGCGGCUCACUGGACCGGUACUGACGCUGAUGCGCGAAAGCGUGGGGAGCAAACGGG